UGGCUCAGUGGUUAAGAGCACUGGAUGCUUGCUCUUCCAGAGGUCCUGAGUUCAAUUCCCAG
Molecule: transfer RNA, 62 nt
Filed under: Mus musculus (house mouse)
Lineage: Eukaryota; Metazoa; Chordata; Mammalia; Rodentia; Muridae
Rfam family: tRNA
About the family: Transfer RNA (tRNA) molecules are approximately 80 nucleotides in length.
Source: Rfam by way of RNAcentral